Bubalus bubalis (water buffalo) is the source of this 310-nucleotide long non-coding RNA. RefSeq lists it as uncharacterized. Lineage: Eukaryota; Metazoa; Chordata; Mammalia; Artiodactyla; Bovidae. The record is from RefSeq and is a predicted model, not a curated record. The transcript has 3 exons.
CUGCUGUAUAGAAGAAAUUAAAGCAACACUGUACAUCAACUAGACUUCAAUAAAACUUCCUUUAAAUAAAGAAGGCAAAGAGAAGGCACCAUGGGGCCCUAUGGCUACUGACUCUGCCAUUUAUCAGCUAUGUCUCCUGGGGCCACCACUUCAUGUGACUCUUGAUUGCAAAGUGAAGGAGACACGAGUUUGAUCCUUGAGCCAGGAAGAUCCCGGAGCAUGCUGUGAGCAGCUAAGAACCACAACUACUGAAGCCCACGCAUCCUGGAGCCUAUGGUCCUCAACAAGAGGAGUCACCGCAAUGAGAAGC